UUGACCUCGGAUCAGGUAGGGAUACCCGCUGAACUUAAUCAUAUCAUA
Molecule: ribosomal RNA, 48 nt
Filed under: Neofusicoccum mangiferae
Lineage: Eukaryota; Fungi; Ascomycota; Dothideomycetes; Botryosphaeriales; Botryosphaeriaceae
Description: partial 28S ribosomal RNA
Source: RNAcentral